This 898-nucleotide small RNA is filed under the name Rattus norvegicus (Norway rat). RNAcentral describes it as "uncharacterized LOC102550858". Lineage: Eukaryota; Metazoa; Chordata; Mammalia; Rodentia; Muridae. The record is from RNAcentral.
UCCUCCGCAAAAAAUUGUUGAAAUUUGUUCAUGUCCCUCCGCUGGGAGCUGUAUCUAAAAAGAGCUACCCGUGGGCCUGCUCUUGUUUCCCACCUAAAACUUCAGUUUCUUGUUUAAUUUCCCAAGAUUGUAACUUCUUUCUAGUGUAAGGAUCUUUAGAAAGAAACCUGAGUGGGUGGGAGGUAAAUAUAAAUCACGAUGUUAUGACUCAAGUUUGUGACACACAUCGAAUCUCAAGCAAUAAAUAGUCCUUUGAAAGAUGGAUGCAAAAUAGAGCACCUGAAAGAACAGAGAACAGCUUACUCUCCUGUGCCAUGCUCCUAUUGCCUUGUCACCGUAAAGGAGAGCUAACUGCAAACCACACGCACCAGAAAAAUUCCUUCUGUCCUUUUAUCAGUUUCUAUAUCUAGGACACCCUGACUGCAUUGCUGAAGGCCUCAGAGAGCAGGAAGAGGGAUGAAACGACACAGUAUUUUAGCCCUUGUGAAAGGAGUAUGAGAAUUUCUUGAUCGCAGGCUCCUACACGCUAAAAGGCUUUGGCAGCUCCAAGGGGCUUGGGCCAGCGGAAGGUCAGUAAAUUUAAACUGCACUAGCUCUCAGCUAAAUAGGCCUUUCUGAUUCAAAGGGAACACACUAAAAACCAGAGAGCCAAAAGACAGACAAGAUUUUGAAGUAUUUUCACCAAACAACACUGCACCCAGGCUGAAGCAAAGCUCCAAGAACCAUGGCUCCAUCAACAGAAGAAUUUCAACCACACAUCUGACAAAAUGCACCGCCUACAGGCACCCGCAGAAGCUUAGAAUCACACACUCAGGGCAGGCACAGCUACAGUGCAGUUCAAGUCACUCACUGCUGCAUAACAAAGCAUCUUCGAACUUAGUCUCUUAAAACAAUAAUA